GAUGAACGCUGGCGGCGUGCCUAAUACAUGCAAGUCGAGCGAACAGACGAGGAGCUUGCUCCUCUGACGUUAGCGGCGGACGGGUGAGUAACACGUGGAUAACCUACCUAUAAGACUGGGAUAACUUCGGGAAACCGGAGCUAAUACCGGAUAAUAUAUUGAACCGCAUGGUUCAAUAGUGAAAGACGGUUUUGCUGUCACUUAUAGAUGGAUCCGCGCCGCAUUAGCUAGUUGGUAAGGUAACGGCUUACCAAGGCAACGAUGCGUAGCCGACCUGAGAGGGUGAUCGGCCACACUGGAACUGAGACACGGUCCAGACUCCUACGGGAGGCAGCAGUAGGGAAUCUUCCGCAAUGGGCGAAAGCCUGACGGAGCAACGCCGCGUGAGUGAUGAAGGUCUUUGGAUCGUAAAACUCUGUUAUUAGGGAAGAACAAAUUUGUAAGUAACUAUGCACGUCUUGACGGUACCUAAUCAGAAAGCCACGGCUAACUACGUG
This 497-nucleotide ribosomal RNA is filed under the name uncultured bacterium. Its description in RNAcentral is "partial 16S ribosomal RNA". It matches the Rfam family "Bacterial small subunit ribosomal RNA", at positions 28 to 507 of the family's 1533-position model. The record is from RNAcentral.